ACCGGUGUCGUCUAGUGGUUUAGGAUCCUGCAUUUUCAAUCUGCUAUGAAGAUCUGCAGUGGCCUGGGUUCAAUCCCCAGCACCGGUG
This is a non-coding RNA of Xylariales sp. AK1849, 88 nucleotides long. The record is from the annotation of a GenBank genome assembly. NCBI's taxonomy places the organism in Eukaryota, Fungi, Ascomycota, Sordariomycetes, Xylariales.